AUGAAGACCAAGAGCUUUUACUUCUUCUGCUUCAACACACACCAUGAUCUCUACAUCCCUACUGCUGCUGCUGCUGGCAGCCGUGUUCACUGUGUUGAGCUGAUCCAGACCGGAUCCACAGUAUUAACCCCUGGUCAGUCAAUGACUCUGACCUGUAAAGUGUCUGGAUAUUCAUUAACUGAUAGCAGCUACUGUACAAACUGGAUCCUACAAACUGCAGGAAAAACUCUGGAGUGGAUCGGACGUAUAUGUGGUAGCGGUGGCACUGACUACAGUGAGAAACUGAAAAGCAGGUUUCAGAUUUCCAGAGACACGUCCAGCAGCACAGUAACAUUAACAGGGCAGAAGAUGCAGACUGAAGACACAGCUGUGUAUUACUGCGCUCGUCGCUCACAGUGA
Pangasianodon hypophthalmus (striped catfish) is the source of this 399-nucleotide non-coding RNA. NCBI's taxonomy places the organism in Eukaryota, Metazoa, Chordata, Actinopteri, Siluriformes, Pangasiidae. The record is from the annotation of a RefSeq genome assembly.